Molecule: unclassified non-coding RNA, 1501 nt
Filed under: Hevea brasiliensis (rubber tree)
Lineage: Eukaryota; Viridiplantae; Streptophyta; Magnoliopsida; Malpighiales; Euphorbiaceae
Source: RNAcentral
UUGAUUUUGAUCAUAAAUUUAAUGUAUAUGUUGAUCUAUGAACAAUAUAUGGUCUCUUCAUGUCAAAUUAUUGGUUGAAAAAAUCAACUAUUAUCAAUGCACACCAAAUGUCAGAAAAUAUUUUCCAGUUGUUUUAAUAUCACAACCGAUAAAGAAAAAACAUAAAAAAAUUUGUUUUACCAGAAAUUUUUUUACUGCUGAAAGUAUUUUCCAUGGAGUUUAUUUUCCAUGAAACAAUAGGAGCCUUAGUAUUGAAUUCCAGACUAGCUGCAAAAUCUCAAAAGUUGUCACUGGAAAUACUAUUACAAAAAUUGUUUCUGAAACAAUUCAUUGAAAUUUCUCCCCCUUGAAGGUAAGUUCUAAAUGCUGCAAAUUUUUUUUUAUUAUUUUUGAAGUAUCAGUUGAUUAAAAAAAAUUCCUUCCUAUUCUCCUUGUCUCUUAUUAUUUUUUGUAAUGCUGAGGCAUUUAUUAUGGCAAAUUUUGGAAGUUAUGGAAUUCCUUUGUGCUUUGAAAAUUUUGAAAAACAUUUAAAAAUUUCUCCUCCCAUUUUGUUGCUCUCAUUAUCAAUAACAUAACUUGAAGUUACCAAAAUGCAGAAUAACAUCAACACAAAAAUGAUUUUUUUUCUUGGUGGUAUAUGAUAACAGGAAAUAUCAGUGGAUUAGUUUCCCAAGUGCUGCAUGUUUUUCUUAAUCCAUUAUAUCUAAUUAUGUUCUCUGCACUAUGCUUUUCGAAGUACAACUGAGAGCACUAUACUAAUCAGUAUUUUCUUCAUCCAUUAUGGCUAAUUAAAAAGUGUGUCCUAGUGUUUAGAUUUCUCAAGUUCAAAUCUUGAUUUCCGGUGGAAGUACUUUUUUCUCAAAGUUAGAAACCUCAUUCAUGCUUAAUCAGUUUGUCCCAUGUAAAUUGAAUGAUUUUGAGCAACAUUUCUCAUUAAUUGGUUAUCAUGGAAUUAAAUUUGUGGAUAGUGUUUUUGGAGUUGCAUCUAACAUUGAUCAAAUGAAAAAGGGGGGAAAAAGAAUUGCCCAAUAGUAAAUGUGAAACUAGCUGGGAGACCUAUUUAGUUGAUGCAGAGCUCAGGCCACUUUCAGAACACAAUUCAUGUUAGAUUUUGGUAAGGAUUCUGUCUGCUUUAGAAUGUGGCAUUGGGGCCGCAAAAGACCAUGCUUUGGCAUAAAACAUAACCUUAUAGCCAAAUAUUGGAAAGAGUUCUUCUAAACAACCAAAAGUAGGUGGAUUAUACUCCUGUUGAAUCACAGGAGCUCCUGAACUACAUCAAUUUGCUUGGUUUGACAUUGGAUCACCCAAAUGUUCCUAGUAAAAAUAUUUGCAGUGUUGUUGUAGGCAUUUGCUGUAAGAAAUUUAGUGAGCCCUUCUUCUGAUGUGAUGUCAAGCUGCUAAAAAUCUCCAUUUCACUGCUUGGUUCAGCUCUUUUGUUCUAUGGUUUUUUGUUGUAAAAAGUAUUUUCUAAACAUUUCUGGAUAUUAAGUUUUAAAAAAAA